This 467-nucleotide ribosomal RNA is filed under the name uncultured bacterium. RNAcentral's name for it is "bacterial SSU rRNA". It matches the Rfam family "Bacterial small subunit ribosomal RNA", at positions 330 to 794 of the family's 1533-position model. The record is from RNAcentral.
UCCAGACUCCUACGGGAGGCAGCAGUGAGGAAUAUUGGUCAAUGGCCGGGAGGCUGAACCAGCCAAGUCGCGUGAGGGAAGACGGCCCUACGGGUUGUAAACCUCUUUUGUCAGGGAGCAAGGUGCAGGUCGGGACCUGCUGUGAGAGUACCUGAAGAAAAAGCAUCGGCUAACUCCGUGCCAGCAGCCGCGGUAAUACGUAGGGGGCGAGCGUUAUCCGGAAUUACUGGGUGUAAAGGGAGCGUAGACGGCGAGGUAAGCCUGAAGUGGAAGCCCGCGGCCCAACCGCGGAACUGCUUUGGGAACUGUUUUGCUGGAGUAUGGGAGGGGUAAGCGGAAUUCCUGGUGUAGCGGUGAAAUGCGUAGAUAUCAGGAGGAACACCGGUGGCGAAGGCGGCUUACUGGACCAUAACUGACGUUGAGGCUCGAAAGCGUGGGGAGCGAACAGGAUUAGAUACCCCGGUAGG